AAGGUGACGAUCGAGUGAAGAGGGUCCGGUUACAAACACUCCAUGCAAAUUUUGAGUUCUUGCACAUGAAGGACUCGAAAAAUAUUGCAAGCUACUUUGACCGUGUGCAGUCAGUCGUAAACCAAUUGCGGGCAAACGGUGAAUCGUUGGACGAGCAGAGGGUGGCAGAAAAAAAUCUUACGCUCUUUGAGCACAAGAUUUAACUACGCAGUAGCUGCAAUCGAAGAAGGUCAAGAUACAACAACUAUGUCAGCAGACCAGUUGUUGGGUUCGUUAAGUUCUCAUGAGCAGAGAAUGAACCAGACGGCGAGUAGCAGUAACCAAGAACAAGCUUUGCAAAGCAGCUAUGUCCCAGGAAAUCGUGGUGGCAAUCAAGGCAACAACAGCCAUGGACGCGGUGGCGGACAAGGUAGCGGGCAAGGUGGAGGAAAUUGGAAAAAUAAUUUUUCUGGUAAAAUUGACAAGUCCAAAGUUAAAUGUUACCGGUGUCAACAAUGUGGGCAUUACAAAAGGGAAUGUCCGCGUGGCAACCGACACGGACGAACGCAGCAGGCAACGCUGGAGAACCAAAUAAAAAUCACUCAGAUAUUUGGUUUCUUAAUAGCGGUUGCUCGAAUCAUAUGUGCGGACGCAAGGACCUGUUUACGAAGCUAGAGGAGUACGUGUUGCAGAGGCAAGUGACAAUAUGGUUCUCGCAUGCAACGCUGGAGAACCAAAUAAAAAUCACUCAGAUAUUUUGUUUCUUGAUAGCGGUUGCUCGAAUCAUAUGUGCGGACGCAAGGACUUGUUUAGGAAGCUAGAGGAGUACGAAGGCGAUGAAGUCAACUUUGGCAACAAGACGAAUGUGAGUGUCAAAGGUAAGGGUGACAUCAAAAUCCAAUCAAAGGAUGGUACAGAUGUUAAUGUCGCCGAUAUUUUCUUCGUACCUCGGCUUUUCUGGAACUUAUUAAGCAUUGGGAAGCUUUCAGAAAAGGGGCACAAGAUUCUUUUCCAAGAUGGAGUCUGCACGAUCCGGAGCAAGAACAACAAGUUAAUCACGCAGGUAGAAAUGGCCAAAAACCGAAUGUUCGCUCUUACUCUUAAUACGAAGGGAGUA
This 1096-nucleotide long non-coding RNA is filed under the name Nicotiana benthamiana. Its description in RNAcentral is "long non-coding RNA (NBEN_LNC026537)". Lineage: Eukaryota; Viridiplantae; Streptophyta; Magnoliopsida; Solanales; Solanaceae. The record is from RNAcentral.